GGAAAGGCGCGCGAUACAGGGUGACAGCCCCGUACACAAAAAUGCACAUGCUGUGAGCUCGAUGAGUAGGGCGGGACACGUGGUAUCCUGUCUGAAUAUGGGGGGACCAUCCUCCAAGGCUAAAUACUCCUGACUGACCGAUAGUGAACCAGUACCGUGAGGGAAAGGCGAAAAGAACCCCGGCGAGGGGAGUGAAAAAGAACCUGAAACCGUGUACGUACAAGCAGUGGGAGCCUCUUUUAUGGGGUGACUGCGUACCUUUUGUAUAAUGGGUCAGCGACUUAUAUUCUGUAGCAAGGUUAACCGAAUAGGGGAGCCGAAGGGAAACCGAGUCUUAACUGGGCGUUAAGUUGCAGGGUAUAGACCCGAAACCCGGUGAUCUAGCCAUGGGCAGGUUGAAGGUUGGGUAACACUAACUGGAGGACCGAACCGACUAAUGUUGAAAAAUUAGCGGAUGACUUGUGGCUGGGGGUGAAAGGCCAAUCAAACCGGGAGAUAGCUGGUUCUCCCCGAAAGCUAUUUAGGUAGCGCCUCGUGAAUUCAUCUCCGGGGGUAGAGCACUGUUUCGGCAAGGGGGUCAUCCCGACUUACCAACCCGAUGCAAACUGCGAAUACCGGAGAAUGUUAUCACGGGAGACACACGGCGGGUGCUAACGUCCGUCGUGAAGAGGGAAACAACCCAGACCGCCAGCUAAGGUCCCAAAGUCAUGGUUAAGUGGGAAACGAUGUGGGAAGGCCCAGACAGCCAGGAUGUUGGCUUAGAAGCAGCCAUCAUUUAAAGAAAGCGUAAUAGCUCACUGGUCGAGUCGGCCUGCGCGGAAGAUGUAACGGGGCUAAACCAUGCACCGAAGCUGCGGCAGCGACACUAUGUGUUGUUGGGUAGGGGAGCGUUCUGUAAGCCUGCGAAGGUGUGCUGUGAGGCAUGCUGGAGGUAUCAGAAGUGCGAAUGCUGACAUAAGUAACGAUAAAGCGGGUGAAAAGCCCGCUCGCCGGAAGACCAAGGGUUCCUGUCCAACGUUAAUCGGGGCAGGGUGAGUCGACCCCUAAGGCGAGGCCGAAAGGCGUAGUCGAUGGGAAACAGGUUAAUAUUCCUGUACUUGGUGUUACUGCGAAGGGGGGACGGAGAAGGCUAUGUUGGCCGGGCGACGGUUGUCCCGGUUUAAGCGUGUAGGCUGGUUUUCCAGGCAAAUCCGGAAAAUCAAGGCUGAGGCGUGAUGACGAGGCACUACGGUGCUGAAGCAACAAAUGCCCUGCUUCCAGGAAAAGCCUCUAAGCAUCAGGUAACAUCAAAUCGUACCCCAAACCGACACAGGUGGUCAGGUAGAGAAUACCAAGGCGCUUGAGAGAACUCGGGUGAAGGAACUAGGCAAAAUGGUGCCGUAACUUCGGGAGAAGGCACGCUGAUAUGUAGGUGAAGUCCCUCGCGGAUGGAGCUGAAAUCAGUCGAAGAUACCAGCUGGCUGCAACUGUUUAUUAAAAACACAGCACUGUGCAAACACGAAAGUGGACGUAUACGGUGUGACGCCUGCCCGGUGCCGGAAGGUUAAUUGAUGGGGUCAGCGCAAGCGAAGCUCUUGAUCGAAGCCCCGGUAAACGGCGGCCGUAACUAUAACGGUCCUAAGGUAGCGAAAUUCCUUGUCGGGUAAGUUCCGACCUGCACGAAUGGCGUAAUGAUGGCCAGGCUGUCUCCACCCGAGACUCAGUGAAAUUGAACUCGCUGUGAAGAUGCAGUGUACCCGCGGCAAGACGGAAAGACCCCGUGAACCUUUACUAUAGCUUGACACUGAACAUUGAGCCUUGAUGUGUAGGAUAGGUGGGAGGCUUUGAAGUGUGGACGCCAGUCUGCAUGGAGCCGACCUUGAAAUACCACCCUU
Molecule: ribosomal RNA, 1874 nt
Filed under: Escherichia coli
Lineage: Bacteria; Pseudomonadati; Pseudomonadota; Gammaproteobacteria; Enterobacterales; Enterobacteriaceae
Description: partial 23S ribosomal RNA
Rfam family: Bacterial large subunit ribosomal RNA
Source: RNAcentral